This 78-nucleotide transfer RNA is filed under the name Firmicutes bacterium CAG:313. RNAcentral describes it as "transfer RNA-Pseudo(GCC)". The record is from RNAcentral. Lineage: Bacteria; Bacillati; Bacillota.
GGUGGUAGAGUAGCUUUACGGCUAUUAUACCGCCUUGCCAUGGCGAAGAUGCCGGUUCGAUUCCGGUUACCUGCUCCA